Molecule: long non-coding RNA, 656 nt
Filed under: Equus caballus (horse)
Lineage: Eukaryota; Metazoa; Chordata; Mammalia; Perissodactyla; Equidae
Description: lncRNA (ENSECAG00000043338.2)
Source: RNAcentral
AUUUUGCCUAAGUUAGUUAGCGACAGUUUCUGCUUCUUAAAAAAAGUGACCCAGUGGAUGACCUCAAUAUGCAUAUAUGAGACAACUUCUGUCUAUGGGUUCUUCCUCAAAUUACUAGACUUAUCAUCCUGGUAAUGUUUUUUCUCCAACAGAAAAACAAUAAGUGUGUGCAAUUUUCAAGAAUAAAGUGAGAUUUAGAAAACUAGUGGUUUAUCCAUAUGUAAUGGAGUCUGCACAUGUCAGGACCCAACCCAGAACGGCAUGUUGCAUUUAAUCAUCAUUCUGCUUAAUUUUUUCCAGUUGGUGAUUUUUUUCAGUUUUUCCUUGUUUCUCAAGACCUUUGCACUUUUAAAGAGUACUGAUCAAGUAUUCUGUAGAAUAUAUCUCAAUUCGGAUUUGAUGUUUUCUCAUGAUUAGACUGGGAUUAUGGAUUUUUGAGGAAGAAUGCCACUGAGCCACUUAUUCAGAGACAGUGUGAGAGAAUGAAGCCAAGAGAGUGAAGCAGAUAUUCUACAGGGAGGACCUAGUCGCAGUCCCUGAUGAAUGAACUACUAGAGAACUAACCAACGUCAUUUAUGAAGAACACAAUGAAGUCAGACAAAAAGAAAAAAUUGUUCCUAUUGGCUAAUCCAACUGAAGGCCAAUGGAUAAAGGCA